CCUACGGGUGGCAGCAGUCGAGAAUCAUUCACAAUGGGGGAAACCCUGGUGGUGCGACGCCGCGUGGGGGAAUGAAGGUCUUCGGAUUGUAAACCCCUGUCAUGUGGGAGCAAAUUAAAAAGAUAGUACCACAAGAGGAAGAGACGGCUAACUCUGUGCCAGCAGCCGCGGUAAUACAGAGGUCUCAAGCGUUGUUCGGAAUCACUGGGCGUAAAGCGUGCGUAGGCUGUUUCGUAAGUCGUGUGUGAAAGGCGCGGGCUCAACCCGCGGACGGCACAUGAUACUGCGAGACUAGAGUAAUGGAGGGGGAACCGGAAUUCUCGGUGUAGCAGUGAAAUGCGUAGAUAUCGAGAGGAACACUCGUGGAAGGCGGGUUCCUGGACAUUAACUGACGCUGAGGCACGAAGGCCAGGGGAGCGAAAGGGAUUAGAUACCCGAGUAGUC
This 444-nucleotide ribosomal RNA is filed under the name uncultured bacterium. Its description in RNAcentral is "partial 16S ribosomal RNA". It matches the Rfam family "Bacterial small subunit ribosomal RNA", at positions 338 to 795 of the family's 1533-position model. The record is from RNAcentral.